UGACAAACUAAGGAGAGACCAUUGGGAAAUGAAACCUGAGACAUCUAUAUUGGGGGUGUUCCCUGGAUUUUCCAGUUUCACUACAUAUCGAAGAGUUACUGAGUUGGGGUACACCAAUUGGUAGUCCUGGUAGUGGAAAGAAAACAUGACUGAUUAUCUUCUGCAUCAUUGAUGCGGGUCAGUAGGACCUCUGAAGGUAUCUGUGCCACGCUUGUAACUGUCAUUUGAGGUCACUCUACUAUGAUUGGGUUACUUGUCUGUAUCACUUAUAUCUGCUUGAAUAGUUCUUGCUUUGAUUAGAAAAGAACAAGUUAAAUAGAGAGAUGGGAAAUGCAUGAGAUGGAGGAAUGAGUCACAGAUGAGGAUAUUCGUUAGUCUAGCAUAGAAUCCCUGUGGAUAUAAGAGGCAAGAGGAGGUCACAACUGGGUUUUUGAACCAGAUAAUAUCUGAGGACGGCUGGAUAGUGGCUUGAGGGGCUGUUGCUGAUAAUGAGGUGGCUUGCUGCUGACACACUGAUUAAGAAAUGGCAAGUAAUCUUAGAAGAAUUAAUAGCCGUCUGAUACCAACUAGUUUCCACACUGAGGAGCUGCUUGUCAACUUAUGUGGUUAAUCUUAUCAAUGCGAGUAUUUUUGUGCUUGAAAUUAUAGCAUUGUGCUGAAGCUGUACCUGGUCAAUAACUUCUGUUAGUUGCCUCACAUUCUGUAGGACUUAAUGAAGGGACUGAUCUAUCACAACCUCGUAUUCAGCUGUUUGGAUGAAGUUAGAUGGUGACAAACUACCGAUACAGAAUGCAAAGAAUGCAAUAGUUCAACUGAGUUUUCCACUCUGGGACCUCCUGAGCUUUCUUCUAUGAUCAGAAAUUCGUAGGGAAACCUGUAAUCAACUUUACCGUUCGAAAACUUUGAACAAUGAAUUUGCCAAGCCAAAGUCUUGUUAUGAUUCAAAGGGUAAUAACUUGGGGGCUCAUCAACUUCAGAAUCUCCAGCAAAUGUAGCAGCCAUUCUCCUGAAAUGACAUGAGAAUACAUACAGGAAAAGACUCAUGGGCAAAUUUGUUUUGGGUCUAAACAAACAUUGCAACAUUAAAAUAUUUGACGAAAAAAGAAUUAAUUUUAUUUCUCAUGUUUAACACACUGCCUUUCGAUAUUCAAUUCGAGAGUAUAUAUUAAAUUUUGAACUUCUUAAGAGUUAAGACUUAGAUGGACCUGGAGAAUUGUGCUGCCGAGUACCAACUUCUUCAAGGAGAACUUUAUUAUAAGCAGAUAUGGUGCAAUCACAGUACUAACUGCGACAUGAUCUAAAUCUAAUUGGACGACAAGCUACAGUCCCCCUUUUUUUUCUAAUGCUUAUUUGAUCUAACAUAAGCAUGGUCAUUUUCUUCAUUGCUGAUGAACUGAACUUCUGAGUGAUUAUUCUGCAGCAUUCCAUCAGAGUCUCAUCUGAUGAACUGAACUUUGGAUGCUAUCCGCAGAGCACUGACUAUUGUUUUCAGCUAUCUCUCAUGUCUUUGCUGAUCACUACAGUUUCAAGUUGAUCAUGGCAGCAUCAGUCUUUCAUCAUACCAAGGUAACAUGCUCUUUCCAAAAUGAGCAUAUACAUUGGGAUGUCAAGACAUAUUUAUCUUGCACUAAGUUGCUGAAAGUUCCUGCAUUGGUUUAGUUCAGCACAAUAUUCCUAUGGUGACUGGCGUAAUCUGUCAAUUGUGAAAUUCAUGCUGUAAAAUUUCUGACCCACCUGUUAACUUGGUGAAGAUUGACAUCU
Molecule: long non-coding RNA, 1761 nt
Organism: Rhodamnia argentea
Lineage: Eukaryota; Viridiplantae; Streptophyta; Magnoliopsida; Myrtales; Myrtaceae
Exons: 2
Source: RefSeq, a predicted model, not a curated record